This is a long non-coding RNA of Quercus lobata, 579 nucleotides long. RefSeq lists it as uncharacterized. The transcript is spliced from 2 exons. The record is from RefSeq and is a predicted model, not a curated record. Lineage: Eukaryota; Viridiplantae; Streptophyta; Magnoliopsida; Fagales; Fagaceae.
ACUUGCUUGGUCUAUAUAUAGGAUAAGGAUAGAGAAACUGAGAACCAUCAACUAUCAACUCUCGAAAUGAAAGCCAUUCUAGUGGUCUGCUUUCUCUUGCUUUCCACAUUUUUCAUUCCUUCUUCAAAUGCAGCUCGAGAACUAGCUGUUACAGUCGCACCAGUGAAGAAUCCAGGCGCAACCCCAAGCUGUGGUCGCGGAAAAUCAUAUGCUGCAUGUAAGCCACAGCCACCGCCAAAGCCAAAAGCGGAUCCACCUUGUAACGUCUACAGCCGUCGAGGUUGCUCACAACCUUAACCCCUGACUUUCAGAUAAUAAGCACUUAGCUUAUUCUCAUGAGGAGCAAUGGCAAUAAAUAAAAUCCUAAGUGUCAUAUAGGUGGUUUGAAGUUUGCAAAGCCUCUAAUUCGCAGUGUUGUAAUUUGCACUUAAUAAGCUACGGCUUUUUUUUUUUCUUUUCUUUUUUUAUGGGGAAGGGAUAGUUAACCCGAUGAAUACUAUGUAGUUUGUUCUGAAGUGUGCAAAAUAAAAGAGCUGACUAAACUCAGUCCAAUGAUUACUUGUGGGACUUUCAUGCAAA